Molecule: non-coding RNA, 314 nt
Organism: Paramuricea clavata
Lineage: Eukaryota; Metazoa; Cnidaria; Anthozoa; Malacalcyonacea; Plexauridae
Source: the annotation of a GenBank genome assembly
GGUAUUAAUUUUUUGGAGGAAACGUCAAGGUUUUCUGCUAUCCGCGCACGCUUCUACACCCCCUCCCCCAGGACCUUCUCUAUCAGAAAACAGUUUUCUGCAGAAACUAUGCUUUUUUAUCGGGAAAAUUUUUACUUUUCUCAAAAAAAUACUUUAGAAACACGGAAACCUUAAAUAUUUAAAUAAUUUUUAUACCUUUUCGGGAUUGCAAAAAGCAAAAUUUGAUUCAUUAUCACACUUUUUAAAAUAUAUGUGACAAAGUUGCUUCGAAAUCACUAUCACGCAGUAGCAUGUUUAUUUACCCUCAUCCUUUU